AACGAACGCUGGCGGCAUGCCUAACACAUGCAAGUCGAACGAGACCUUCGGGUCUAGUGGCGCACGGGUGCGUAACGCGUGGGAACCUGCCCUUAGGUUCGGAAUAACUCCCCGAAAGGGGUGCUAAUACCGGAUAAUGUCUUCGGCCCAAAGAUUUAUCGCCUUUGGAUGGGCCCGCGUUGGAUUAGCUAGUUGGUAGGGUAAAAGCCUACCAAGGCGACGAUCCAUAGCUGGUCUGAGAGGAUGAUCAGCCACACUGGGACUGAGACACGGCCCAGACUCCUACGGGAAGCAGCAGUGGGGAAUAUUGGACAGUGGGCGAAAGCCUGAUCCAGCAAUGCCGCGUGAGUGAUGAAGGCCGUAGGGUUGUAAAGCUCUUUUACCCGGGAUGAUAAUGACAGUACCGGGAGAAUAAGCUCCGGCUAACUCCGUG
Molecule: ribosomal RNA, 433 nt
Filed under: uncultured bacterium
Lineage: Bacteria
Description: partial 16S ribosomal RNA
Rfam family: Bacterial small subunit ribosomal RNA
Source: RNAcentral